AGAACGAACGCUGGCGGCAGGCCUAACACAUGCAAGUCGAGCGCCCAGCAAUGGGAGCGGCGGACGGGUGAGUAACACGUGGGAAUAUGCCUUUCGGUUCGGCACAACUCAGGGAAACUUGAGCUAAUUCCGGAUACGCCCUUACGGGGAAAGAUUUAUCGCCGAAAGAUUAGCCCGCGUUGGAUUAGCUAGUUGGUGAGGUAACGGCCCACCAAGGCGACGAUCCAUAGCUGGUUUGAGAGAACGACCAGCCACACUGGGACUGAGACACGGCCCAGACUCCUACGGGAGGCAGCAGUGGGGAAUCUUGGACAAUGGGGAAACCCUGAUCCAGCCAUGCCGCGUGAGUGAUGAAGGCCUUCGGGUUGUAAAACUCGUUUUGGCGGGGACGAUAAUGACGGUACCGCAGAUAAGCUCCGGCUAACUCGUGCCAGCAGCCGC
Molecule: ribosomal RNA, 441 nt
Filed under: uncultured bacterium
Lineage: Bacteria
Description: SSU rRNA
Rfam family: Bacterial small subunit ribosomal RNA
Source: RNAcentral